AUUGAACGCUGGCGGCAUGCCUUACACAUGCAAGUCGAACGGUAACAGGUCUUCGUAUGCUGACGAGUGGCGAACGGGUGAGUAAUACAUCGGAACGUGCCUAGUAGUGGGGGAUAACUACUCGAAAGAGUAGCUAAUACCGCAUGAGAUCUACGGAUGAAAGCAGGGGAUCGCAAGACCUUGUGCUACUAUAGCGGUCGAUGGCCGAUUAGGUAGUUGGUGGGCUAAAAGCUUACCAAGCCGACGAUCUGUAGCUGGGCUGAGAGGAAGAUCAGACAGACUGGGACUGAGACACGGCCAAGACUCCAAAGGGAGGCAGCAGUGGAGAAUCUUGGACAAUGGACGAACGGCUGAUCUAGCAAUGCCGCGUGCAGGAUGAAGGCCUUCGGGUGGUAAACUGCCUUUGUACGGAGCGAAAAGCCCCGGGUUAAUACCCUGGUAUCAUGACGGUACCGUAAGAAUAAGCACUGGCUAACUACGUGCCAGCCGCCGCCGUAA
Molecule: ribosomal RNA, 498 nt
Filed under: uncultured bacterium
Lineage: Bacteria
Description: partial 16S ribosomal RNA
Rfam family: Bacterial small subunit ribosomal RNA
Source: RNAcentral